CCUACGGGCGGCAGCAGUGAGGAAUAUUGGACAAUGGGCGGGAGCCUGAACCAGCCAAGUCGCGUGAAGGAAGAAGGUACUCAGUAUUGUAAACCUCUUUUGUCGGGGAGCAAAGCGAGUGACGUGUGACUCAUUGAGAGUACCCGAAGAAAAAGCAUCGGCUAACUCCGUGCCAGCAGCCGCGGUAAUACGGAGGAUGCGAGCGUUAUCCGGAUUUAUUGGGUUUAAAGGGUGCGCAGGCGGAGGUGCAAGUCAGCGGUAAAAUGGCGGGGCUCAACCCCGUACUGCCGUUGAAACUGCAUCCCUUGAGUGCGCGAGAGGUAUGCGGAAUGCGUGGUGUAGCGGUGAAAUGCAUAGAUAUCACGCAGAACUCCGAUGGCGAAGGCAGCAUACCGGCGCGCAACUGACGCUCAUGCACGAAAGCGUGGGUAUCGAACAGGAUUAGAUACCCUAGUAGUC
This 459-nucleotide ribosomal RNA is filed under the name uncultured bacterium. RNAcentral's name for it is "partial 16S ribosomal RNA". It matches the Rfam family "Bacterial small subunit ribosomal RNA", at positions 338 to 795 of the family's 1533-position model. The record is from RNAcentral.